UUCGUUUCUCUGCCUUUUGGCUAAGAUCAAGUGUAGUAUCUGUUCUUAUCAGUUUAAUAUCUGAUAUGUCCUCUAUAUGAGGACUACAUAUUAAAUUUGUUUUUAGAACAGGGAGACAGAAGAGGGGUUUGCUCCAUACACUCCACGCAUCAACCUGCUAUUGCAGUAUGUCCAGGAGUGGUGCACCUCCU
Small nuclear RNA from Pygocentrus nattereri (red-bellied piranha), 191 nucleotides. Its record names the gene U2. It matches the Rfam family "U2 spliceosomal RNA". Rfam says of the family: U2 is a small nuclear RNA (snRNA) component of the spliceosome (involved in pre-mRNA splicing). Complementary binding between U2 snRNA (in an area lying towards the 5' end but 3' to hairpin I) and the branchpoint sequence (BPS) of the intron results the bulging out of an unpaired adenosine, on the BPS, which initiates a nucleophilic attack at the intronic 5' splice site, thus starting the first of two transesterification reactions that mediate splicing. The record is from Ensembl. Lineage: Eukaryota; Metazoa; Chordata; Actinopteri; Characiformes; Serrasalmidae.